AUUGAACGCUGGCGGCAUGCCUUACACAUGCAAGUCGAACGGUAACAGGUCUUCGGAUGCUGACGAGUGGCGAACGGGUGAGUAAUACAUCGGAACGUGCCUAGUAGUGGGGGAUAACUACUCGAAAGAGUGGCUAAUACCGAAUGAGAGCUACGGAUGAAAGCAGGGGAUCGCAAACCCUUGUGCUACUAGAGCGGCCGAUGGCAGAUUAGGUAGUUGGUGGGAUAAAAGCUUACCAAGCCGACGAUCGGUAGCUGGUCUGAGUGGACGAUCAGCCACAAUGGGACUGAGACACGGCCCAGACUCCUGCGGGAGGCAGCAGUGGGGAAUUUUGGACAAUGGGCGCAAGCCUGAUCCAGCAAUGCAGCGUGCAGGAUGAAGGCCUUCGGGUUGUAAACUGCUUUUGUACGGAACGAAAAGCCCUGGGUUAAUACCCUGGGGUCAUGACGGUACCGUAAGAAUAAGCACCGGCUAACUACGUGCCAGCAGCCGCCGCUG
RNAcentral lists this ribosomal RNA (498 nucleotides) under uncultured bacterium. RNAcentral's name for it is "partial 16S ribosomal RNA". It matches the Rfam family "Bacterial small subunit ribosomal RNA", at positions 30 to 523 of the family's 1533-position model. The record is from RNAcentral.